GCACUAAAGACAUUGUUUUAUUCUAAUUAUAAUAAUAUACAAUAUAUAAUUAUUAAUAUAAUAUACAUUAAACACACAUCCAUUAAAUACCUUGAUAUAAUAAUUGAUCAAAAUUUAAAAUGGAAUAUUCUCAUAGAAAAUAUAAUAAAUAAAUUGAGACAACUAACUUACUUUUUCCUAACAGCUAAAAAAAUAUUAAGCAAAAACUACCUUAGAAUAACAUACUUUGCAAUGGUCAAUCUUCACUACAAUACCGAAUAAUCGCUUGGGGUGGGUGCAGUACUACAUUAAAAUAUAAUUUAACGAUGCCACAAAAGAAUAUAAUAAAAAUUAUCUUAAAUAAACCAAAAACUUUCCCUUCAAAAGAGCUAUUCAAACUAUUUCGAAUACUAGAAAUAGAAAAACUUUACAAUAAGCAAGCGAUAUGUUUUAUUUAUAAAACUAAAGCUUUUACAAUUAAAAACAAUCCCCAUAAUCUUAGAAAAAAAUAUUUCGAAAUUCCAUUUAUGAACAUUGCAGAUGUAAUAGGUAAAUGUUUAAAUUAUUCGCAUUUUACACUUAAACUAAAAAAUUGGUUUUAUGAUAAUCUGUAAAAAAAUAUUGUUAAUUCUAGUCUAUUAUUUAUGUGAAGUUGUACUUAAAAACAUUCAUUAAAUAGCUUAUCUAUUAAAAAUUCUAAAUAUUAAUUAACUAAAUAAUAUUUUAUAUAAUCAUAAUUGUUACUAUACUCUUAAUUUUCAUUGUAUUUCUUAUUUAUCAAUAUCAAAUUGUGAAUUUCUUUUUUGGUUUUUUUUCCUUUUUUUUUAAUUUUGUCAUUUAGAUUGUAUUCUAAUUUUAAUUUUUUUUUUUUUUGUUUCUUAUUAUAUAUGUUACUUUUUUCUUUCUUUUUUUUUUUUUAAAUAUUUAAAAUAACAUCAAGAUAAGUAUUCUUGCUCUACGAUAAGAGGUUUUACCUCAGUGUAGAGCAAAGCUAGUAACUACAUAUAUUGAUCCAUUAUAUUUUGUACACAUUUUCUUUUACUAGCAAAUAAAAAAAAUUGAAAUAAAAAAUAUAUUAAAAACACGAUAAAUUCUAGUGUUUAGUGUUUNUUUAUAAAUCCCAAACCAAAACCGAGUAUCCGUGACAAGUCUGAGCCAAGAGGAAAAUUGAUAAUUUUCAAGUGGAUAAAAAAUUGAGAGAAUCCCAAUAUAACUAGGAAACAAGAUUACAAUAUCCGUGAUACCAACCGGUGAUAAGGUUACAGUCAUAUUGUAAAACCAUGGUUGUACCAUAAAAUUUUAAUUUUUUUUGCAAUUCAAAAAUCAAGUAGAUAAAUCAUUAACAGCGGUUGUAUCUAAUACGUGAUUUGUAUUUUUUUUUUUAAAUAUUUUUUUUUUUUACAGCAAUAACACAAGUAUGAUUAGGUACGUACGUCGUUUUUGAGACGUUUUUUCGUCAUUUUUUUUUUUAACAUUAUGCAGACAACAUGCUGCACAUCCUGCAUUUCGGCACCACAUCAUCAUAUAAUUUGUUCAUUUUUUUUUCUAAAUACAACUGUUACAUAGUACAUCAUAACGCAACUGUGGCCGUCCCUACCAUACAGGUUGUUUUUUUUUUUUUUCUAAAUAAGGUAAGUACACCAUUUUGUGGACUAUACUGACCGGGGACAGGAGCCGGGGCCGCACGUCGGCGGACCACGGGCAGAUACGCGCAAAACGUACGCCCGCGAAAUAUCCAGCGACGUACGUAACAAAAGACACGGAAAAAUAUUGCCGCGGCCGGUCGCGCCAUGGUGAAGAAAAAAACACAUGCAUCGGCCGGAAUACCGAUUUUCGGCUAUUUGGUUAGAUUUACGUUACCGUCCGUUACGGACAGGUAACCGAACCGAAUGACAUGUGCGGACACAACGUCUUACAGGUACAUCACGGGCAACCUCGCGCCGGUUUUACAGGACCGCUACGGGGUUACCUGACCGGGGGAGGGGCCGGGCUUCGUUCGUUGACGGGCCGCGGACAAUUACGCGCGAAAAUUACACCGGCAAAAUGUCGGGCGACGUACGCAUCGAGAGAUGCGGAAACGCAAACGUUGA
This 2069-nucleotide long non-coding RNA is filed under the name Cinara cedri. Lineage: Eukaryota; Metazoa; Arthropoda; Insecta; Hemiptera; Aphididae. The record is from RNAcentral.